Molecule: unclassified non-coding RNA, 4444 nt
Filed under: Leishmania donovani
Lineage: Eukaryota; Euglenozoa; Kinetoplastea; Trypanosomatida; Trypanosomatidae
Description: gene:LdHU3.22.0710(CDS-product:Rab-GTPase-TBC_dom ain_containing_protein_putative)
Source: RNAcentral
CAGCGCGCGUCGCUCGCGGAGCCCACACAUAUCAACUUGCACAACGCUCACACACCUCCAAACCACGGCAUAUUUCAAUCUCGCACUCCAUAUUCGACAGCCCUUCUCUGGGCGCACGCGCAGAGAGGGAGGGAAAAAGAGGAGGAGGUGUUGGUGGCGCAAUCCGCAAACGCAAGGUGAAGUGGUCAAGGCGCACACGCACGUGCCCAUACAAGCACUCGACGCGUGCACUCGUGCGCACAUAUACACGACAAUCUCCUUUUCUCUCUCGUAGGCGUGAGCCGCUGCCGCUGUUGUUGUGACGCUCUACGCGUCACUGAACCGCCUCGUGGCCACCCACCCAAACCCAUACGUUCACACCCAUACACGCACGGCCGCUUCACGUACCGGCCGCCUCGCGCGUGGCUCAUCCCGCCACAUGGUGUUUUACGUCUCUCUGCUUCUUCAGAAUAUAGGCACCCUUUCUUUAGAUCGCAGCCUCCGCUCUAUUUCUUCCCAGCGCGUGCGCCUCUCCUCUGUUUUCGUAUCGUCUUGCGGGCCCCACGCUGCCGUGCGUCUCACUCGCCCUCCCCGUCGACGUCUGCCUUCUCGUGUUUUGGGGUCGUUUCUCACGUGAGGGUUUGUCGUGUGCCCCCACCCCCUUCUCCUCCUCCUCUCUUCUGUCGUCCCCACUUCCAGGAGAGCUGGACACGUUGCACACGCCCCUUGGAUUCUUCAUACACCACGGGCGUAGCAUCGCGCGCAUACGACAGCAUCCUCAUCCGUUGCUUUUUUUUUUGUUAUUGCUCAGCCAUGUCGCUCUCCGCCCAAGGCUUAUUGAAGUUUCUCAACCAGAAGCAUCGCCGCUACGAGGUCUUUGAGCAGAUCUCGUUGGCCGAGACAGCGAGCGGAGCGGCUCCCUCGUCAAGGUGUGUACUUCGCGGCUCCGUCGUCGUUCCGGAGGCGGACAAUGACAGCGCUGGUGGUGGCGGCAUCACCCGCGUAAUCCCGACAGCUACAGCGGUUAUGCGCACGCCAUCCCCGCAGCUCUUGCAGCUCCCCUGGUCACCGUCACAGCCGCAGGCGUCGACUCCAACUCAAGCGCACGGUACCAUGUACGUGUGCGAGCUGCCGGAGGACACGUGGGGAUCGAUUUCUGCCGUUACUGCCACGCCGGCGCCGUCGCAGCGGCAGUUCGCCUUCGCCAACGAAGCUGCAGCUUUCUGCGCCUCACCAAGUCCUGGCUUUGUGGACGCCGGGGACGGCGCAGUGGGAGCGAGUUCAGUGCAGGCGUCGCCAACGACCGCUAUGGUAACUGUCAUAAACACCCUUGACCAAACGGACCAUACAGAGGAGAUGCGCCAGGGGCCGGAAAGGCUCAGCAACCAUGACACGAACGCGCCCACCUCAGAUCUAGGUGCAGGCUCGGUGGCCGCAGUGGGAGGCAUUCAGCUACCACAGUUGUCUUCCCCGACAGGGCAGGGCGUCAUGGAGUUGCCCGCAUCUCCACAGGCGCUGCAGACUGCCGGGGAGGACGUGAGGAGCGCCUUGAAUGCGACACCGGUGAGAUGCAGGGGCGCGGACGCGAACGCAGCUCCGCCGCAGUCGUCGCAAAGUCAACCACCGGGCGCAGCCGCUGUCGAAGCUUCUGUAGGGAAGCAGAACAAUACCGUCACCGUUGUCCUGUGGGUUGCAGGUGUUGCUGCUGCUACAGGGGCCGUCGACAGCACGGACAUGGGGCAAGCGGGGGACACGCCCUACACCUUAGCUGCGGCACCACUUGCCACGCCCUCGCUCCGCCGCGAUCUACAGCACUUGACUUCGACCGCCACUGCCCCUCAGAAGGCUGCCGCUGCCGCAGGCACCGCUGCAGAAAGCACCGAAGACAUUGCCGGCAGCAGCACAAAAACGCUAGGGUGCCUCUGCUUCGCUGUACGCGAUAUCCAUGAGGCGGAGAGCAACGACACCGACAUGUUGACCCCACGAGAUCGUCGCGUGCAGAUGCUGACCCUGCAACUGGAGUCCGGCGCGGCUGCCUAUGCAGCGAAAUGCCCGUCAGAUGUCUUUGUGCGUGUUGGCAGCAACUCGCUAGGGUGCGCGCUCACAUCGCCGUCGGGGAUUAGCGGUGGCGCUGCCGCUAUCUCAUCGCGCCGCUCUGCCCCGACAACGUCCUUUUCCUUUGUGUUCCACAAAGGCGGCAUCACGCGGUGUAUGGCCGCACUGCGGCAGCACUCGCCGGGGCUCGUCUACGCGUACCGUGGCAGCCGCAAUAACUUGUCUCUGCUCCUGCUAGAUGGUGCGAACGGAGUUACAGGUGCCGACGGAAUCAGCACUUCGUCGCCGUCACGAAUCCGGGGUGCCGCGACUCCAUCCGAGCUGCAGGCGUCGCACGGGGCGCGCCGAUUGGGCAGCGCGCAUCUGGGGCUUCCGUUAUCACCAGCAGGGCGAAGCACGAGCAGCGCUAGCGCCCCACCGGCGCAGCCGCCAGAGGGCGAGCUCCACGGCUGGCGCAAGCGGCUCUCUACCCGUGCGCUCUUCCGCAGUGGCGCCCGCGGCGUCGGCGGCCUGCUCUCGCACUACACCUCCAACUUGCGCUACGAAGCCAUGAGCGCGGUUGCGCCGCACUGGCCAUCCGCGUUGACGGGGUUCGAACAGGAGGCAGGCCACACCGAUGAUCCUCGUGGCAGGGGAGACAGAAGGGUCGGCAGCGCCACACGCGCAUGGGCGUCGACGACGAACUCGCCGGACGAAACGCAGGACUACUCCAGCGCCUCCUCUUUUGAGGAUCUCACGGACGAGAUGACGGCGAUACGGCUUGGCGCAUGCUACUCUCCUCCACGUCCGGUCCUCCCACUGGACGGCGGAAGCCGCGCACCAUCGCCGGUCACCGCGGCGGACUGGGAGCGCGUCUUCGACGUCCCUCCGGAGCAGCAGCGCUAUCCACAACAGCACGGGAACGCACUGGAGAACCACUCCACGCACGGUGCGACUUCGGCAGCCCUGCCGCCUCAGACAAGGAGGCUGAACGCUGACCGCUGGCGUGCCUUCCGUCAAGCUGUUUACGAGCGAGGAGGGCUGGGGGACAGCAGCGUCCGCUUCGAGGUCUGGUGCUACCUGCUCGGAGCCUACCGCGUAGGCUCGACCGAGGUCGAGCAAGCCGAGGCGCUCCGAAACGACGAGGCGCUCUACACGCGCCUUACCUCACAGUGGAAAUCGUUUCUGCCGGAGCAGGAGGCGCACUUCGCCACCUACCGGUACGCCAAGCAAUCCAUCGUGAAGGAUGUACAGAGGACCGACCGGACGCACCCGGCCUUUCGCGAGGAUGACUCCGAUAUGCUGCGCGUGCUGCAGGAGCUCUUGCUGGCGCAUGUGAUGCUGGACAUGGAUCUUGGCUACAGCCAGGGCAUGAGCGAUGUGGCGGCGGUGGUGUUGCUUGCCGCGUUGCCCUCGCUGCCCCCGGCACCACAUCUGUCCCCGGCGUCUGAGGCCGCCGUGUUCAUGUGCUUCCGCAAGAUACUGAGUGAGCACAUGUCGGCGAACUUUGUCAUUGAGGGGCGCACGGCUGGUGCGCCGUACGCGGCUGUGAAGGGGCUGCAGCGCAAGCUGUACCAGGCACAGGUGCUGACGCGGCACUUCCAUCCGGGCUUGUACACGCAUCUCAAGAAGAACUGCAUGGCCGAUGACAUGUCAUUCUGCUUCCGCUGGAUACUGGUCUGCUUCAAGCGCGAUCUGCCGAGCAUCGAGGACACGAUGCGCUUCUGGGAUGUGCUCUUCGCUUGCCCGUACACCACGGCGUACGAGGUGGUCGUCACGGUGGCGUUGCUCGGCGCGCUCGCCGCACAGAUCAUAACUCACAUACAAGCGUACGAGACGCUCCUACAGUUCGCGAACGGACUGAGCCGUGAGAUAAGCCUUGACCAGAUUCUCGUAUGCGCGCGGGCGUUCUACGAGAACGUCUGCGUCGCCGAGGCACGCGAGCUGCGCCGUCGUCUGCGUCUCCAGGCCGCGGAGGCGUCCGCAAGGACAAGGGGCAGUACAGCAACCGGCGGCGCUGGUGAGCCCCUUCCUGGCUGGUAUGUUGGUCCACACAGCAAGGAAGCGGCAGUGGCGGCGGUCGUGCCAGCUGGGAAGGCCGACGAUGACGACGACGAAUCUGACUACUUCCCAAGCGUCGAGGACAUGGUCGCGCUGUUUCUCAAGACGGAUGGACCUCUUUGAGAAGAGGUCGAGGAGCGCGAGGUGCGGCACGGCCACGACGCUUCUACUUUUUCAUUGACAUGAACCUCAUCUGCUGUGGGCAUGUAUUUCUCUGCGUGGGCGUGUGUGCGGUGUAGGGCGCGGCCCCCUCUCCUCGCCUUCUUAUGUUCCAUCUCUCUUCGCUUGUCAUGACAGGGGAGAGAGAAGGAGGGGGGGGGCAGAGCGCUAGCCUUCUUCCUCACUCGUCUCACUGGACUCCUUGCCACCG